GACGAACGCUGGCGGCGUGCUUAACACAUGCAAGUCGAACGGAAAGGCCUUGCUUUUGUGGGGUGCUCGAGUGGCGAACGGGUGAGAAACACGUGAGUAACCUGCCUUUGACUUUGGGAUAUCUUCAGGAAACUGGGGCUAAUACCGGAUAGGAGCUCCUGCUGCAUGGGGGGGGUUGGAAAGUUUCGGCGGUUGGGGUUGGACUCGCGGCUUAUCAGCUUGCUGGUGGGGUAGUGGCUUACCAAGGCUUUGACGGGUAGCCGGCCUGAGAGGGUGACCGGCCACAUUGGGACUGAGAUACGGCCCGGACUCCUACGGGAGGCAGCAGUGGGGAAUAUUGGACAAUGGGCGGAAGCCUGAUGCAGCAACGCCGCGUGCGGGAUGACGGCCUUCGGGUUGUAAACCGCUUUCGCCUGUGACGAAGCGUGAGUGACGGUAAUGGGUAAAGAAGCACCGGCUAACUACGUG
Molecule: ribosomal RNA, 468 nt
Filed under: uncultured bacterium
Lineage: Bacteria
Description: partial 16S ribosomal RNA
Rfam family: Bacterial small subunit ribosomal RNA
Source: RNAcentral